RNAcentral lists this ribosomal RNA (510 nucleotides) under uncultured methanogenic archaeon. RNAcentral's name for it is "bacterial SSU rRNA". It matches the Rfam family "Archaeal small subunit ribosomal RNA", at positions 827 to 1338 of the family's 1478-position model. Lineage: Archaea; Methanobacteriati; Methanobacteriota. The record is from RNAcentral.
CUUGGGGAGUACGUCCGCAAGGAUGAAACUAAAAGAAUUGGCGGGGAGCACCGCCAACGGGAGGAGCGUGCGGUUUAAUUGAUUCAACACCGGAAAACUCACCAAGGGCGACUGUUACAUGAAAGCCAGGCUAAUGACCUUGCUUGAUUUUCAGAGAGGUGGUGCAUGGCCGUCGUCAGUUCGUACCGUAAGGCGUUCUCUUAAGUGAGAUAACGAACGAGACCCUCAUCUAUAAUUGCUACUUCAUUCUCCGGAAUGGAGACACAUUAUCGAGACCGCUAGCAGGGGGUGGGGGAGAAGGAGAGGUCAACGGUAGGUCAGUAUGCCCCGAAUCUCUUGGGCUACACGCGCGCUACAAAGGAAAGGGACAAUGGGCUACGACGCCGAAAGGCGAAGUCAAUCUCGAAACCCGUCCGUAGUUCGGAUUGAGGCUUGUAACUCAGCCUCAUGAAGCUGGAUUCCGUAGUAAUCGCGAAUCAAAAACGCGCGGUGAAUAUGCCCCUGCUCCUU